This 82-nucleotide small nucleolar RNA is filed under the name Gavia stellata (red-throated loon). RNAcentral's name for it is "Small nucleolar RNA SNORD24". It matches the Rfam family "Small nucleolar RNA SNORD24". Rfam says of the family: U24 is a member of the C/D class of snoRNA which contain the C (UGAUGA) and D (CUGA) box motifs. The record is from Rfam by way of RNAcentral. Lineage: Eukaryota; Metazoa; Chordata; Aves; Gaviiformes; Gaviidae.
UGCCACAAUGAUGACCGUUAUUUGCUACUCUUGAUCAAGAAGAUGAUGAGAACUUUUACCACCAUAACUUUCUGCUGAGGCA